Molecule: ribosomal RNA, 3039 nt
Filed under: Triticum aestivum (bread wheat)
Lineage: Eukaryota; Viridiplantae; Streptophyta; Magnoliopsida; Poales; Poaceae
Description: partial small subunit ribosomal RNA
Source: RNAcentral
AUGCCUCGAGAGAGGAUUGAUGCGGACACCAUUGAUGAAGCGGUUAGUAAUGUAAUCCCUUAUCUAGAGGAUACAAGCAAUACUACACACAAGGCCAUCUAUUUUGAUGGAGCGGGUGGGCUGGCUGCUUCGGCGGUGCUUAGAGCCAUAGCCCAAGACCCUCCACCAUCUCUGCUCAAGAAAUUCGACAGGAUCAUCCAUGUCGAUUGCUCAAGGUGGAAAAGUCGAAGAGCGCUCCAGAGGACAAUCGCACAAGAACUCAAGCUUCCUCAACGGGUAAUGGAUAUUUUUGACAGGCAAGAUGAAGAAGAUGAUUUCAGGGGGGUAGUUGAAAGCUCCAGAGCUGAGAUUGCAGUCAUUGCGAGGGAGAUUCAUAAUGCCCUACGAGAACACAUAUCCUUAGUGGUCUUCCAUAAUGGCAGCAACAAUAUGGUUGGGUUGACUGAUUCUGGCAUUCCUCAAGCGCCAAUCUUUGAUGUUAAGGUAUUGUGGACAUUCCGAGGAAGGCUUCGGCUCAACCAAGGAAUUAGUGAGAAGGUGGAUCCUUCGCAUCUUUUCCUUUAUGAUGAGUACAGUACUCACGGGUGGAAUUAUUUGCUGCAACUAGAGGCAAGAGAGAUUGCUGGGUACACUGAUAAUCUUGGCGAAACAGUUGAAGAGUGUUACUUGUAUCUGCUGUCAUUAAAUUAUCAGGGAGGCAACAUAAUGGACUACAACUGGGCCACCCAUUCUUCCAACUAUUGGGUUUGUGAUGGGAUUAUACAGGGAGGUCAAGGUGAUGAAGCAUGGAAGGUUGCUGCUGCUCUGCAUCAACAUAUAGAUAUGGAGGAUUAUUCAUCUAAUGCACUGCCCUCUUUUGGUGAUGAGUUGAAGACUCCUCCAAAACGAUGGAUACUGGCCAAGGACAGCUCUGUUGUGCAGCCAGGGUCAACGUCUGUUUUCCUUGCUGCAGUCGCAAGAGGACCAGAUCCACCAUUAAGAACCUUACCUAAUGACAUGUUUCAUCAAUCGGACAAACUUCGGGUGCUCAAGUUAUGUCAUUGCACCUUCAGUUUUUCUGCACCUCCUUUUUGUUGUUGCCACAACUUAAGGUUCCUUGGAUUAGAUGGCUGCAAGGACCAGCGAGCAGAAGAAGAAGAUGAGAAGCAAGAUAGACCGGCAAUGGAAUUUUUUGAGAACCUAUGGGUACUAGACAUAUGCCACACGGAUUGGGAGUUGGACUUAGCAACAUACAUAACAGAGAAGAUGGCUGCAAACAUUAGGGAGGUACAUAUAAAGAAAGGAAGGAUUUGGUGCCACAGUUUUGCAUGGCGACAAUUGCAUAACCUUCAGAAGCUUCUAGUGAUUGAACCUACAAGGCCUUGGCAGACAGGAGGAAAGGAUGAAUUUACGGAUACAGUGAAGAUGGAAUUCCUCAACCUUUCUGGGAAUAGGACACUACAAGUUUUGCCCAACCUGUCAAAAGCAACUAGCCUCAAGACCUUGGUUCUAGAUGCUUGUGUUGGGUUGGAGCACCUUGGACCAGAAGCACUCCCUCCGUUACUUGAAUCAUUCAGCUUGGAUGUAGGAGGAGUAGAAGAUCAUUCCAAGGAAGCCCAAAUAAGCCGCAUCUCCAUGGCUGGUUGUGCAAGAUUGUCCAACUUCAAGCUAGGUGGAUCACUUCCAAACCUUGAGGAGCUGGACCUCUCAGGCACAGGAGUCAAGACACUUGACCUCACAACUCAGGUGGUGCAGGUCCCAUGUCUCCAACGAGUCAUGCUAUUGGGAUGUGAGCAACUUCGUGCUGUGCUUUGGCCAGAAAAGGAGAUGUCCCAACUAUGUUUUCUCUGCAUUGACACUCGAGGAGGAGAAGAGGUCGGAAGAAUACCACCAGAUUUUGAGAAGUUUAAAAAGGGUCAUUGUCAAGCAUAUGUUGCUAUGGUGGACAUCAAAUUCAUCCAGAUAUUGACGCAAACAACUUACAUUAAUACGUUUUGGAACAUGGGCACAAAUAAAUUUAGUCUAAACCUUUGCAUUUCUGCUAGUGGACAGUGGUGCAACAAAGGAAAGAUGGGUUCUGGUAACUGUGGGAAUAUAUUGGGGCCAGCCCUACCAAAGUCAUUAAUCCCCAAUCACUGUUAUGAUGUUUUUUCUAUGGACAACAUAACUAUUGAUCAUGACUACAAUAGUGCAGCGAAGUUUCAGCCGUUAGCCCGCCAUGUGGAGAUUGGUGAAGGAAUUAGCAACACUAGCAUGGAGAGCACACAAGGUAACAAGGCUAUCAUAUUUGUGAUGGACAAGGCUGAGAGUUUGCAUGUGCACGAUAAUUAUUCCAUCAACACUAUCAUCCCUGAAUGUGUAAUGACCAUAGAAGAUAAGAAACUUGGAUGGUCUAGGCUGCAACAGUGCCGUGUGGAGAGAUGCCCCAAGCUAGACACAGUCUUCGCCACUAACUAUGAUAUCUUUUGCUUUGAAGAACUACAGAACUUUUGGGCGGCUGAUCUGCUGAUGGCAUCCUGUGUUUGGAGCAGAGGAAAUAUUGUCAGUGCCAAGGACACCCGUUCCUUCGUGAAUCUGCAGAGCAUACACCUCUACUCAUGUCCAAGGCUCAAAUCCGUGCUUCCAUUAUCAUGGGCUGCUCCAGGCUCAUAUUUUCCCAACUUAGAGACCCUUCACAUUGUCAGUUGUGGUGAUCUCGACAAGGUAUUCCCCGUGGAGCCAGAGUUCCUGACAACAAUAUCCAACGAUGACCGAAAAGGUGUACUGGAGUUCCCAGAGCUGAAGCACAUUUACCUGCAUGAGCUCUAUAAGCUGCAGCAUAUAUGUGAAGCCAAGAUGUAUGCUCCCAAACUUGAGACCAUGAGGGUCAGGGGAUGCUGGGGUCUCCGGCGCAUCCCUGCCGUCGGCCAAGACAUCCGCCCUAUCGUGGACUGCGAGAAGGACUGGUGGGAGAAGCUGGAGUGGGACGGGCCGGAGGCCAGCCAUGACCCUUCCCUCUAUGAUCCCCGCCACUCAUCAUAUUACAAGAAGCCCCUGCCUAGAUUCUCGGUGCUCUGGUGA